GAUCUCUGGAGAAUCUCAUUUUUGAGUGCCGAAGGUGCAAGGCGAAAGCCGAAUCUCUCAGGCAAAAGGACAGAGGCU
This 78-nucleotide non-coding RNA is filed under the name human gut metagenome. RNAcentral describes it as "Glycine riboswitch". It matches the Rfam family "Glycine riboswitch aptamer", at positions 9 to 86 of the family's 94-position model. Rfam says of the family: This family represents the bacterial glycine riboswitch. Glycine riboswitches usually consist of two metabolite-binding aptamers domains with similar structures in tandem. The record is from RNAcentral.